Non-coding RNA from Chrysemys picta bellii (western painted turtle), 169 nucleotides. Lineage: Eukaryota; Metazoa; Chordata; Testudines; Emydidae. The record is from RefSeq and is a predicted model, not a curated record.
GAAUAAGGACUGUGAAUGUCUGAGCCAUUACAAACUUUGAAUCUAUCUCCCCUUGUAAGUAUUCUCACACUUCUUAUCAAACUGUCUGUACUGGGCUAUCUUGAUUAUCACUUCAAAAGUUUUUUUCACUUACUCAAUUGGCCUCUCAGAGUUGGUAAGACAACUCCCA